Molecule: long non-coding RNA, 274 nt
Organism: Anguilla rostrata (American eel)
Lineage: Eukaryota; Metazoa; Chordata; Actinopteri; Anguilliformes; Anguillidae
Exons: 3
Source: RefSeq, a predicted model, not a curated record
CACGGCCCUGCGAGAAAGACGGUCCAGGUAGAGAGGGCAGGGUCAUCUGUACCCAGCUGUUUGUCUAUGAAGAGUGAUCAUUCAAUGAGUGAUCCAAUCAACUUCAGAGGAGAGUUCACAGGUGAUCAAAGGGUCCGGGUAAAGAAGGCAGAGUCACCUGUACCCAGCUGUCUGUCUAUGAAGAGUGGUCAUUCAAUGCUUCUUCCAUACAACUUCAGAGGAGAGUUCACAGGUGAUCAAAGGUAAGGAAACAAGUUUAAACUGACACUAUGGU